GCCCCUGUAGCUCAAUGGACAGUGCUUUGGACUUCUAAUCCAAGGGUCGUGGGUUCGAAUCCCACCUGAGAUG
Molecule: non-coding RNA, 73 nt
Organism: Trichonephila inaurata madagascariensis
Lineage: Eukaryota; Metazoa; Arthropoda; Arachnida; Araneae; Nephilidae
Source: the annotation of a GenBank genome assembly